AACGAACGCUGGCGGCAGGCCUAACACAUGCAAGUCGAACGCCGUAGCAAUACGGAGUGGCAGACGGGUGAGUAACGCGUGGAAACCUUCCCUAUGGUUCGGAAUAGCUCAGGGAAACCUGGGGUAAUACCGGAUAAGCCCUUCGGGGGAAAGAUUUAUCGCCAUUGGAUGGGCCCGCGUCGGAUUAGCUAGUUGGUGAGGUAACGGCUCACCAAGGCGACGAUCCGUAGCUGGUCUGAGAGGAUGAUCAGCCACACUGGGACUGAGACACGGCCCAGACUCCUACGGGAGGCAGCAGUGGGGAAUAUUGGACAAUGGGCGAAAGCCCGAUCCAGCCAUGUCGCGUGAGUGACGAAGGCCUUAGGGUUGUAAAGCUCUUUUGGCGGGGAAGAUAAUGACGGUACCCGCAGAAUAAGCUCCGGCUAACUUCGUGCCAGCAGCCGCCGUAA
RNAcentral lists this ribosomal RNA (449 nucleotides) under uncultured bacterium. RNAcentral's name for it is "partial 16S ribosomal RNA". It matches the Rfam family "Bacterial small subunit ribosomal RNA", at positions 29 to 523 of the family's 1533-position model. The record is from RNAcentral.